RNAcentral lists this ribosomal RNA (1197 nucleotides) under Centropomus medius. Its description in RNAcentral is "partial 16S ribosomal RNA". It matches the Rfam family "Bacterial large subunit ribosomal RNA", at positions 585 to 2558 of the family's 2925-position model. The record is from RNAcentral. Lineage: Eukaryota; Metazoa; Chordata; Actinopteri; Centropomidae.
GCAGAGACUAAACCUCGUACCUUUUGCAUCAUGACUUAGCCAGUAUGCUUCAAGCAAAGAUUACUUUAGUUUGACACCCCGAAACUGAGGUGAGCUACUCCAAGACAGCCUGCCUGUAGGGCACACCCGUCUCUGUAGCAAAAGAGUGGGAAGAGCUUUGAGUAGAGGUGACAGACCUACCGAACCCAGUAAUAGCUGGUUGCCUGUGAAAUGAAUUUAAGUUCAGCCUCUCGGCUUCUCCAUAACCCGAGAAGGUUAGCCAAAGGGGGAACAGCCCCUUUGAACCAAGACACAACUUUAUUAAGAGGAUAAAGACCAUAGCCCCACUAAAGGUAAAAUAUUCCAGUUGGCCUGAAAGCAGCCACCCUUGAAGAAAGCGUUACAGCUCAAAUAUUAAUCCCGGCAGCACCAUCUUAAUCCCCUAAUCUUACCAGGCCCUUCCAUGCAAACAUGGAAGAGAUUAUGCUAAUAUGAGUAAUUAGAGCGGACCCUCUCCACGCACACGUGUAAAUCGGAAUGGACUCCCCACCGAACAUUAACGGCCCCAAACAAAGAGGGAACCGGAGUAUAACAAGAAAACCCCCACCGUUAACCCUACACAGGUGUGCUCCUAAGGAAAGACUAAUAGAAAAAGAAGGAACUCGGCAAACAAGCCUCGCCUGUUUACCAAAAACAUCGCCUCUUGAAAAAAUAAGAGGUCCCGCCUGCCCAGUGAAUCCUUUAUCAACGGCCGCGGUAUUUUGACCGUGCAAAGGUAGCGUAAUCAUUUGUCUUUUAAAUGAAGACCUGUAUGAAUGGCUCGACGAGGGCUAAGCUGUCUCCUUUUUCAGGUCAAUGAAAUUGAUCUCCCCGUGCAAAAGCAGGGAUAUACACAUAAGACGAGAAGACCCUAUGGAGCUUUAGAUGCCACGGCAAGCGUUACCUGCUACUUCCAAACAAAGGAACACCCACUAGCUUCUGCCUCAGCAUCUUCGGUUGGGGUGACCAUGGGGAACAAAAAACCCCCACGAUGCACUGAGAUGUUCCUCUCAAACAAGAGCCGCAGCUCUAAUUAACAGAAUUUCUGACUACCGAUCCGGCAACGCCGAUUAACGAACCAAGUUACCCUAGGGAUAACAGCGCAAUCCCCUUCAAGAGCCCAUAUCGACAAGGGGGCUUACGACCUCGAUGUUGGAUCAGGACAUCCUAAUGGUGUAA